Molecule: ribosomal RNA, 395 nt
Filed under: uncultured bacterium
Lineage: Bacteria
Description: partial 16S ribosomal RNA
Rfam family: Bacterial small subunit ribosomal RNA
Source: RNAcentral
CCUACGGGUGGCAGCAGUGAGGAAUAUUGGUCAAUGGGCGAGAGCCUGAACCAGCCAAGCCGCGUGAGGGAGGACUGCCCUAUGGGUUGUAAACUUCUUUUGUCCGGGAGCAAUAAUUGUCACGCGUGGCCAGAUGAGAGUACCGUACGAAUAAGCAUCGGCUCACUCCGUUCCAGCAGCCGCGGUAAUACGGGGGAUGCAAGCGUUAUCCGGAUUUAUUGGGUUGAAAGGGGGCGUAGGCUGGGAGGUAAAGCAGCGGUGAAAUGCCCCGGCUCAACGGGGUGAAGUGCCUUUGAUACUGGCUUGCUGGAGUGCGGAAGAGGUGGGAGGAAUGCGUGGUGUAGCGGUGAAAUGCAUAGAUAUCACACAGAACACCGAUUGCGAAGGCAUCUCGC